CGAGGGUGCGAGCGUUAAUCGGAAUGACUGGGCGUAAAGGGCACGUAGGCGGCAUAACAAGUUAGAUGUGAAAUACCAGGGCUCAACCUUGGGGCUGCAUCUAAGACUGUUGUGCUAGAGUUCACUAGAGGGAAGUGGAAUUUCCGGUGUAGCGGUGAAAUGCGUAGAUAUCGGAAAGAACACCAGUGGCGAAGGCGGCUUUCUGGAGUUGAACUGACGCUAAGGUGCGAAAGCGUGGGGAGCAAACAGGAUUAGAGACCCGAGUAGUCC
This 270-nucleotide ribosomal RNA is filed under the name uncultured archaeon. Its description in RNAcentral is "partial 16S ribosomal RNA". It matches the Rfam family "Bacterial small subunit ribosomal RNA", at positions 527 to 796 of the family's 1533-position model. The record is from RNAcentral.